AUGACAUAUGUGAGAAAUAUUCUGGAUGAGGAAUGGAAAAGGAUGAAAGAUUCAUUGCAAGACCUCAACAGAGAGCAGGUUAAUAACAAAGAGCUCCAAGAGAAUCGCCAAGAUUUGAUGCAGGGUUUCGAGAACAUGCCGAUUAGUGGCGGCACCAUUGUUGGAAUAAAAAGGACGGGCUUAAGCUGCAAGGUUGGUCUCGUAUUGGCAGGAAGAAAUACAGAAGCCACCAUGGCGUCCAUUUACGACUAUUCAGGUCAAUGA
This 264-nucleotide ribosomal RNA is filed under the name Triticum aestivum (bread wheat). Its description in RNAcentral is "partial small subunit ribosomal RNA". Lineage: Eukaryota; Viridiplantae; Streptophyta; Magnoliopsida; Poales; Poaceae. The record is from RNAcentral.